RNAcentral lists this ribosomal RNA (459 nucleotides) under uncultured bacterium. Its description in RNAcentral is "partial 16S ribosomal RNA". It matches the Rfam family "Bacterial small subunit ribosomal RNA", at positions 338 to 795 of the family's 1533-position model. The record is from RNAcentral.
CCUACGGGAGGCAGCAGUGAGGAAUCUUGGUCAAUGGCCGGAAGGCUGAACCAGCAAUGCCGCGUGCAGGUCAGUGCCCUAUGGGCGUUAAACUUCUUUUGUGCGGGAGCAAUAAUGGUCACGUGUGGCCAGACGAGAGUACCGUACGAAUAAGCAUCGGCUAACUCCGUGCCAGCAGCCGCGGUAAUCCGGGGGAUGCAAGCUUUAUAGGGUUGUAUUGGGUGUAAAGUGUGUGUAGGCGGGAAAGCAAGACAGAGGUGAAAACCACGGGCUCAACAUGUGGCCGGCAUUUGAAACUGUUUUUCUUGAGUACUGGAGAGGCAGACGGAAUUCCUAGUGUAGGGGUGAAAUGCGUAGAUAUUAGGAGGAACACCAGUGGCGAAGGCGGUCUGCUGGACAGCAACUGACGCUGAGGCGCGAAAGCGUGGGGAGCAAACAGGAUUAGAUACCCCUGUAGUC